UAUAUUUUGAUCAUUAUCAAUAAUAUCACUAAACUCCUUUCAGUGGAUCGGAACAAUUACAACUCAGCCCAAUGAGAAUUAUCGAUCAUCUAGAUAAUUCUCAUGAAUCUGACAAUCCACCAGUGACGCCUAGCAGCAUGUAGUGGCAUUCCAGUAGAAUAGAAUACUGAACUUUUUGGUGCAGUUACCAUGUGAUACAGUCCUUCUAUCAUGAGUCCCGACUAGAUAGAGGUUAUGGAAUAACUCGUCAAACCCCAUCGUCUAUCAUAUGUUAAAUUUAUUCAACUUGAGUUUCUAAUAUCAGAAACUAUUUCUGCUAUUAACUCUGCCCUGGCCAAGAUCUUUUAAACUCGGUCUCAUAAAUCACAUAGGACUAACACCCCUAUCUACCAAGGGAGAUAGAU
RNAcentral lists this long non-coding RNA (404 nucleotides) under Ananas comosus (pineapple). Its description in RNAcentral is "long non-coding RNA (ACOM_LNC043292)". The record is from RNAcentral. Lineage: Eukaryota; Viridiplantae; Streptophyta; Magnoliopsida; Poales; Bromeliaceae.